UACGGAGGGUGCAAGCGUUAUCCGGAUUCACUGGGUUUAAAGGGUGCGUAGGCGGGUUUGUAAGUCCGGGGUGAAAGCUCCGGGCUUAACUUGGAAACUGCCAUUGAUACUGUAUAUCUUGAAUGUCGUAGAGGUUAGCGGAAUGUUGCAUGUAGCGGUGAAAUGCUUAGAUAUGUUACAGAACACCAAUUGCGAAGGCAGCUAACUAUGCGAUGAUUGACGCUGAGGCACGAAAGCGUGGGGAGCAAACAGG
RNAcentral lists this ribosomal RNA (253 nucleotides) under uncultured bacterium. RNAcentral's name for it is "partial 16S ribosomal RNA". It matches the Rfam family "Bacterial small subunit ribosomal RNA", at positions 524 to 776 of the family's 1533-position model. The record is from RNAcentral.